GGGGCGGCGCUGGAUUCCCAGAGUCAUUAAAUCGCUGAAUCACGGAGUUUUUUAUGUUGGGGAAAACUCUGAGAUCACUGGAUCCAACCUAUCAAGGAACACCACCGGGGCCACAGACCAUGGCACUGGGUGCCACCCCCAGUCUUCCCUCCACCGCCUCCAUGGGGAGCCCAUUCCAGUGUCUAAUCAACCCUCUCUGUGAAGGAAUUCCUCCUGAUGUCCAACCUAAACCUCCCCUGGCACACCUUAAGACUAUGAAAAAAACUUCAAACUCAUCCACUACUGUUCUCAUUCUGUCUUAAAAAAUCAUCCCCCCUGACAGUAUAAUCCAGAAAGAGACUAUUGCUAAUUUUUUACCAAUACUGUGUUUCUGUUCCUCUCCACAGACACAAAAUUGUGCUCAAGAACAGUAUUUCUACCAGCUGAGACAAUUUUUAGCAAUAAUAGCUGAAGAGGUAAACCAAUGGGCCAGUGUUGCUGUUUUACAAGUGGUAGGUGAUCACUAUGAGGCUGUGGUAUUUCCACCCCUGAAAUUUCGUGUCUGCCCCACUGUGCUCUGCUUAGGAUGGAUCCUUCUGAUUCUGCCUUUAACUCACAAAUUGAAAAGUUCUGAAAAUUCUCAACGUAGCAAAAUUGUUUUGAAGUGUUAUUAUAUUAAUAUCAUUAAAAUAUGAGUUCUAUUUCCUGCAUGAACAUUUUCAUUUCAGUAUAAAAGUACAGAUUUCACUAAAACUCCUUGGUAGUACUGCUCUCACCUCAAAGAUCUCAGUUUUCAAAGGAUCCAUCCACAUAAUCUCUGUGGUUCAAAUGUGAUACAUAAAAACAGGAAAAAAAAAGUUAAAAAAAAAAAAAUCUUUUUUUUCCUUUUUGCCUUUGCUUCCAAAUGAAAUUCUUACAUUCCCUCACUUCAGGAGCUAUUUAUGCUUGAAAAUCCACACACUUUGGUUCAUAUUUAUCCAAAGAAAGCACAGGAUAUUCUCAGGAGCCUUUUUAAGUAACUUUUCCCUGGAGUUGUCUCUAAGCUGUGACUGCAGAUCUGUGCAUCACAUUCAUUGAGCAGAUGGGAAGUAAAAGUAUUCAGGGGAAAAAAAAAAUAUGCCAAACAUUUAUCUGUGAGAAUUUUCUGCUGGGUAUAUUUGGGAACCUUAUAGUUAUAUUUUGUAUUAAACUGCUUUUCUUCAGAGUGUCUUUUGUAGCAGGUGAGCCAAUGAGGAGCUCCAGUGCUGACUGUGUAAUUGUAUUUUUACAAACAACAGAAAUGAGAAACAUUUCUUCAGAUGUACCAAAAGCAGGUACCAGAGAAGAGAGUCUGAUUCCAGUACUAAAUUAGUAGUUAGGAAAUACAAGAACAUAGUAAAAAAAAACCAAUAAAAAACCCAAAAAGGAAGAUCUAGAGGAGUUCUUUACAGGCAGUGAAGAGGUUCCCAUCCCCAAACUUUUCUUUGCAUUAUCUUGUGUUUAAGGUGGAGGUGGAAGUACCCAUGAACAGGGAAAAUAAGCAGAAAAUCUGCAGAAUUAGGUGGUACUUAUCCCAUCUUUCUGGAGGAGCAGGGGAAUGAGCCCCAAGCAGAUUUGGGGGACUAGGAAGUAAUAAAGAUCCAAUUUUUUAACAAGGAAUUCUAGCAGAGAUCUGAAGGAGAGUUCUGCAAGCCUUAAUAAAGUAAGAGAAACUAGAAUAAGUGAUAUUUUUGAUGGCUACCUGAGUAUUAAAUUCUUGGGAAGAGCCAACAUGGCUCUGAUAAAGGAAUAUCUUGUCUCACACAUCUGGAAAUACACAGAAAGAAGCAAUUUGCGUGCUUGGAUUCCAAAAUCUCCCUCAUCAAAGCUUUAUCAAGGUUUAUUUUAAGGAAACUAAGCAGCAAUGUCUUGAGUUAUAUUUAUAUCAAUGCAUGGCUAAAAGAUAAAUAGAUUGUGAGGGUGUGAAUGAUCACUGAAAGAUCAUUCAAAGAGUUAUCAAAAAAUUCAAACACUGGUUUUUCUCAUAAUCUAAAAGCCUGGAAAGAGAGAUAUGCACUGAGAUGACAAAAGGUGGAAAAAUAUGGAUAAGGUGGUCCUUUUCUAUAACUUUUUUUUUUACAUUUUGCUUGUCACAGGUUCCAACAGUCUUGAUGGUCCAUUAACCCAGUGCUUCAUCCACCUCUGCAGGUUAAAUGAGGAGUUGUAGAACAAAAGAAAUCUAGGGGUGAUUCGAUAAAUGUAGGCAUGUUUUAAGUAGCAUUUUAUCUAAUUUACUAAAGAAACUAGCACCAAAAAUAGUGCUGCUGUCAAUAAAUUACUGAAAAAAAAAAAUCUAAUCUGCCCCGGGCCACUCUUUUGCAGCAGUUUUGUUUGUUUGGAAAAAUACUUUAGCUCAUGUUUAUUCAACACCUGAGCAGUGCUUCCAUAUUCAAUUUGUCAGCUUACCCAGAGCCCAGAGACUCCAAUAAAUUAUUAAAGAGCAGCAUUGCAUAGCAGGAUUGGUAGUGACACAUUGUGUCUCCUCACAGAGAGAAAUCAAGCUUUAUUUUCAUGUGGCUCCCCUGAGGAUGAUUCUGUGCUGCACUAAAGGUUUAUUUUAAAUGGUUGCAUGGGUGUUUCUGAAACAUCAGCACAAGAGUGUUUCAGACACUAGAGAAGAAAGUUAUUUAUUCUGAGGUAAUAAAUUUUAGGAAAACAAAGAUCUGUCAGUGAAGAAUUAUAUUUAUAUAUAUAAUAUGUAGAUGAAAAUAUAUGUUGUAUAUUCAGUGUGACUUCUUGCAAAAAUAUUUAAUUUUUAAAAAAUAUACUUUCUAAAGAAGAAAACUUAUUGCUUUACUUUCCAAUCUGGCAAAUGAUGAACAAUUUUGCUUUCAGCAGCACAAUCUGAGAAGCUCUGCACAUGUGUUUCAAGCACAGGACGGUUUUGGUUUGUUUUGUUUGAGUGUUGUUGCUGUUACAUCACUUUUCAAAAUUUUACACAUUCAGCACAUUUUUAGUUAAUCUUUAGCAUUUGAAUAUCUUAGUUUUUAGAUUUGGGGGCUGGUUUAGAGCUUGAAAAUCAAAGAAACAGGAAGAAUGUGUGGACAAAUUAAUUAUAUUAUGCAGUAAUGUUUAUAUAGAUAAUGGAUAAAAAUUAUGAAGGAUUUGACAGAAGCCUGAAAAUGUCUCCUGGAUCUUGAGAGGGAGUGUAUCAAUGGUAUUUCAUCCAUGGCAAGGCAGAAGGCCUCUAUUUAAAAAGUAAAAUGAGAUCAUUAAACUUUUAGCCAAAUACGAAUAAGCAUAAAUAUGCAAAAACUAAUGUAUACCGUACCUUAGUUUAUAAUUAUCUAGAUUACAUUUCUUGUUCAUUAUAAAAUCUAGGAUAUUUCAUUGAUUUUUUAUUUCUAUAUUAUUCCAAAACUUCUUCAGAUGGGGAAGAAAGUUUAUUUGUUUCCACAAAAGGAAAAUAAAACAAUGGUUGGGGUUAACACUGUUUCAUUGUGUCUGCUUACAUUUGGUGGUUACUUUGGAAUUACUUUGAUGUAAUUAUAUGCCAGCAGCAAAGAAGCUGGAAUUAAAGAGCUUUCUGAACAGGUCUCAAUGAUUUUUCCACUAAGAGGCAAAUCUUGACCUAGUGAUAAAAAGGACUUUAAGAUUUUCCAGCCUCUUCUUCCUGUGGUUUUUUUUUCCUGUAAAUAUUCUUUCCUCAUUGGUUGUGUUGUACAGGAAACAGUCUGCAUUUAAAAGUUCAAGUUUUUGCAUUUAAAAGAGGUUCUGAAAACAGGAAAAGGAGAAUUUUUGGUCCCAUGUGACACUGAACAAAGGUGACACAUUCAUGUCAUAAGAACUGGUAAAUCCCUAAUUGGUGGGUGAAAAUUGUUGUCAAAUUUCUUAGCAAACACUUUUUGAAAUUUAACAUUUUGAAAUUUUAUUCUGUUAAUUGUGUAUUAGACAGUGAAAAUAAGAUUGUAUUAUUGGUAAUAAAUAGCAAGGAAUAUUUUAGGCAUUCUCCAAAACAGAAGAUUUUCCUUUUAUAAUAAAAUCAGUCCAUGAUGCAUGGUUAAAACCAUAACAACUGGCAGGAAAUCAGAAAUAUAUUGUGAUUGUUACAGGGCUUUAUGCCACUACAAAUACUGCAGUGUUAUGGCAUUUCCACACAAUGAUAUCUGCAUCAGGUCUUUGCUUUUGCAGAUACUGAAUUUUGAAAGAAAUGUCAUUUAUCAUUCAUGGCAAUGGAACAAAAACAAUGCCACACAGAACUGGCAGAUCCUGCAGAGAACUGUACACUUUAAAUGCUUAAUUUUCAAAGCUCUUUGUGUGUUUAGCACUUACAGCUUGCCUGCAGUAUCAGUCUUUUCUAAAGGUCCCUAUGUAAAUGUGAAAUGUGUGCUGACUGCUCUACAUUUAGAUCUGUAGAUACAGUAUAAAAAGCUGCAGCUGAGCUAGUUGUAGGUUUCUUUUUUCAGCCACUGGAAAAAAAAAACAGGCAAUUCUUGACUGUAGCUGUUAUUAAAGAUUCAAGCUUGUUGUACAAGUAAUUUUUCAGUAUGAUGGAAGGAUUUUGUAGUAGAAAGAUCUUUGGCUUCUUUCAGAACUGUUUCAGUGUAGAACUCACCAGAAAUUAUAAAGGAAUAACAUUCAAGGUCUCAAAGGAUUAAUGUUUUCAAAUAUUGACUGUCUAAAAUCAGCAAGCUUCAGAAAUAAGCUUGCAAUACAGAGGAAAUUCUGUGAACGAGGUUUAUUAGUUAAGAAUGAUGAAAAAUAUUAAUAGAACAUUAGUUCUUUCCUCAUUAUCAAUUAAAAAUAUUUAUGCAGUAAUAUGCCUGUGCAGCAGCCUGUAAUAAAUUUCAGGAUUGUGAAAGAAGUUGCCCCAAACAAUUAUUUUGGUCAAAAUAACUGGGAGCAGGAACUCAACAUUACAGAGGAAAAUAAUGUUUACAGAAACUCAUUAUUCAAAAUUAAAAGGAAGAAAACUUUAUAGAUAAAACCUGUUUAAACUGCAUUUUCUUAAAGGAGAUUCAUUUCAUCUUCCACUUGUGCAGAUGGUUUGCAGACCCUUUAUCACAUGAACAAUUGAAUUUAUUCCUGAACAAUUAUCUGAUGGAAUUAUCCACUUCACUGGCAAAUAUUAAUAAAUGCAUCACUAUUUUCAGUCAUAUUAAUUUAUACCUCUUGGAAGGCAUGCACAGGAUGCUCCUGAAUGGGAAUUCUAACAGUGAUAAGGCAACAUUUUCAUAUAUGCAUCAUACAUAAACAAUUUAAAUGAUCAUCACCUUGUUAACAGUAUCACCUCUUCAGAAUUUGCAAAGCAUCUAAUCUUUUAACCUUGGAGAAGCAUAAAGAAGGAUAAUUCUACAUUUAAGGCAGAGGAAAGGGUUCAGCUAUGUCCAGGUUUGUGGAUUUUCUUGUACUGUUGUGUUUCAAACUCCCUCUCAUAUUCACAAAAGAGAAUUUCCAUUUUGUAUAAAUAGGAUGUUGGUGGUAAAGGAGGUUGUGGUGCUUCCAAAUCUCUAGUACAGCUGUACAGAGCAUUACAUGAGUUUAAUAAUCUGAUUCUUCUUAUUACUAAGCCUUGCAGAGACUUACCCAGCUUAUUCUUUUGUCUCCUUUUACUGUUCCACUGUUCCAGUGCUAUCAGAGCUGCUCGGGUUGGUAAGCAAAGGUAUUUCCUGUGCAAACAGAGCUCUUGGAAAUGUUCCAGCACUUAAGCAGCACUGCUGGAUGCAGGAGCUGCUCAGCUGGGUUGGUGGCAGUCAGUGAUACAGCCAUCAGCACACUGGAAUAACUGGGAUUUUGGGAUAAGUCACCUCAGAGUUUUGGGAGUGAAGCUGAAGUUUCCAGCCAGUCAUUGAAUUGAGUCCUCUGGUUUGGACCAGAAAAAGGUUUGUGAAACACAGCAGAGAGCACAGAGUCCUCACCCUUCAAAGUAACCAGGACCAAUUUCUCCCCAGCAGAAUCUGGCAGCACUGAUUAAUGUCCAGCACCAUCAACACCAGGACUAUGUACAAGCUGCUGAAAGCUAUAAAAAUGCAUCAACCUCUACUCCAACAGAUAGUAAAGAAAGUAUUUUUAAAAAUCCCAAUCAGCAUCUCACUAAGCAAGACAAUAAUGAAGUUGGCUUAUUUUAAUUUGGGUGAUUGAUUGUCAAGAUGCAACAACUGUUUCUCCAGUCGACACACCAGCAGUCUGUUUUUACAUAAAAGCACCAAGCAGGAAAUUGCUCCAUGAUAAAGUUGAGGAGAGACCUCAUGUUCAAGAAACAGAAAUAUGAACAGACAAAAAACCUUUACCAGAAUGUUGUAUAGAAAUCAUAAGCAUAUGACAUGAAAUAGGCUUGAAGACUUUGAUUUCUGUCAGAUUUCCACUCCAAGUUU
Molecule: long non-coding RNA, 6311 nt
Organism: Parus major (Great Tit)
Lineage: Eukaryota; Metazoa; Chordata; Aves; Passeriformes; Paridae
Exons: 4
Source: RefSeq, a predicted model, not a curated record